UUGAGGGCAUCAUAUCAAACUAACCCAGAAGAAAUCAUUCAAUAGAAAAUGGCUGCUCAGUCCGCUGCAUCCUAAACAUCCUGGCAAACUGAAAAGGACAAUCAAGGUUGUGCAGAUAACACCAUUUAAACCACAAAAGCAACUAGUUCUAUGCUUGGUCACAAAGAAAAUAGAAUACAAAAGGAGAAUUGGGGAUUUUACAGCACCCCCAAACCCAAUCUGUCAUAAGCUUUCAGGUUCUCAUUCCUCAUCUGGGAAAUCCAUUCCCUCAUCAUCCAACAAUUGCAGUUUCAUGUACUAGUCCUAGUUUUUCCCAUAUUGCAUAAAAAGAAACUGCAUGUACUCACAAAAACAUAUGACAACAAAUGUCAGUUACAUCUAUGGAUCAGAAAGAAAAGAUACAUUCAAUCCAGUCAAAGACUGCAGUUGAGAAACAAUAUGUAAGAUUUUCAUUUGGUUGAACACAGAUUUUUUUGUAAGAUGAUGUGCUUAAAUUUACAAGUACCACACAGAAAGAAUGAACGUAAGACUGAUUCUCAGACAAUUUAACACAUGGUGACAAAAAUUAUUAGAACUGACUUGGUUUCUUCAUCCUCAGUCUUUAUCCUCCUGUCUCCAUUUACUAGGACUACAUUUCUGCAAGCCAGUUCUAUUCCUGACAGGAAUUAACCAAACUGAGUAACAAGGUAAAGCAAUCUGUGCAUACCCAUUAAAGAACACAGCUAGUUUAAAUGCUAAAUAUGGGUGAUUAAGGAGCCGAGUUAUAGAAACUGCUGUACAUACCCAUUAAAGAUCAGAAAACAAUUGAAAAUGGGAAAUAAAAUUAGUAUUCAAUAUCAACUACCCAAAACAAAAAGUUAACCAAACUGGGAAAGAACAAUACAAGGAAACCCAAAUUCCUUUUCUCAUUGUUAGCUAGCAGGCAUAUCAAAUUAUAGGAAAUUGAAAUCAAUAAUCCAAGCUAGAUUCUAUACACAAACUGCAAACCUCCAUGAAUCCCAUACCAUAAAUGGCUUCUACAUUCUGGGUGUGCUUAUUCACCAAUAUCAUGAGUGGAGGGAUUUUUAAAAUCAAAAUCUUGUGUAAUGAUCUAUUUGCUUAAUGGGUAGAACUGAAGCUUGAGUUCUACUACUUUCACCACAAUUCUACAUAAUGCCCACAGCAGCAGAGAACUGAACUAGAUAUUUAGGCUGAACCAGAG
This 1201-nucleotide long non-coding RNA is filed under the name Vitis vinifera (wine grape). RNAcentral describes it as "long non-coding RNA (VVIN_LNC005203)". Lineage: Eukaryota; Viridiplantae; Streptophyta; Magnoliopsida; Vitales; Vitaceae. The record is from RNAcentral.